GGGGGCGACCCGGUUUCGACGUGGGUUGCAAAGCAGCGUAGGGCAUACCGAGGAUCGGUCACCUCGUAAAUACAUCCGAAAAAAAAUAGUCGCAAACGACGAAUCAUACGCACUGGCCGCUUAAGGCCUAGCCUCUGUACCGGAACGCUCAUGGUCCGGGUCGGGUAAAACCGGCAGCAGAGUCACUUACAUGAGAUCGCGCCGGAUCGGGUUACUUGAUCCGGAGCUAAAUCCAAGGUAACUCGCCCAACUCCAGCCUGUUCGAUUGGCGUGACAAGGGUUAAAACCAAAUAAUCGGACUAAGUAUGUAGAACUGCCUGUAGAGGGCUUGCGGACGCGGGUUCGAUUCCCGCCGCCUCCACCA
This 364-nucleotide transfer-messenger RNA is filed under the name Sulfuricellaceae bacterium. It matches the Rfam family "transfer-messenger RNA". Rfam says of the family: Bacterial tmRNA, also known as 10Sa RNA or SsrA, is named for its dual tRNA and mRNA-like properties. Its role is to liberate the mRNA from a stalled ribosome. To accomplish this part of the tmRNA is used as a reading frame that ends in a translation stop signal. Lineage: Bacteria; Pseudomonadati; Pseudomonadota; Betaproteobacteria; Nitrosomonadales; Sulfuricellaceae. The record is from RNAcentral.